This 443-nucleotide ribosomal RNA is filed under the name uncultured bacterium. Its description in RNAcentral is "partial 16S ribosomal RNA". It matches the Rfam family "Bacterial small subunit ribosomal RNA", at positions 338 to 795 of the family's 1533-position model. The record is from RNAcentral.
CCUACGGGUGGCAGCAGUGGGGAAUAUUGCACAAUGGGCGAAAGCCUGAUGCAGCAACGCCGCGUGAAGGAAGAAGGGUUUCGGCUCGUAAACUUCUAUCAACAGGGACGAAAGAAAUGACGGUACCUGAGUAAGAAGCCCCGGCUAACUACGUGCCAGCAGCCGCGGUAAUACGUAGGGGGCAAGCGUUAUCCGGAUUUACUGGGUGUAAAGGGUGUGUAGGCGGGAUUGUAAGCCAGAUGUGAAAGCCUUGGGCUUAACCCGUAGAUUGCAUUUGGAACUAUCGAGCUUGAGUACAGGAGAGGAAAACGGAAUUCCUAGUGUAGCGGUGAAAUGCGUAGAUAUUAGGAGGAACACCAGUGGCGAAGGCGGCUUUCUGGACUGAAACUGACGCUGAGGCGCGAAAGCGUGGGGAGCGAACAGGAUUAGAUACCCCGGUAGUC